Molecule: long non-coding RNA, 738 nt
Filed under: Gallus gallus (chicken)
Lineage: Eukaryota; Metazoa; Chordata; Aves; Galliformes; Phasianidae
Source: RNAcentral
GAUACAGUACCAGUCUGGUUCAAUGCUUUUCUCAGCGUCCAGAAGCCCUCUUCUUUCCAUCAGAGUUUCUAAGCCAGCUGAAUUUUUCCAGAGCUCCUUUCCCACCCUGAAAACAGAUGAAAGAGGUCGUCUUCUAAUCAAACUGGAGAUGUUUAGCUAGAAACUCCUUUCCCUGUUAUUUCAAACAUAGCCCAAGCACAGCUCCAGUGUCUGCUGAGGAUAGGUUGGGCAUGGAUGGGAGAGCUGCAGCUAUUGGCGUGGGGCAGAGCAAAUGGCUGGGGCCAUGCAACUUCAGCUGAUGCAGAUGGUGCCUCUUGAACAUUAUCUUGGAGAAAGCAAAAUGUCAGUCACAAAAGAAACCAUUGAACAUGGAGUAAGUUCCAAGAACGGCCCAAAUAUAAUUGUUGUCUUUACUAGUGAUUUUUUUUUCUCUGUGAGUGUUGCUCCAUUGUGGUGAAAAUGGUAGCAAGCUGUACUUCCCCACAAGUUUAGCAGGCAAGAAUCAAGCGUUGGUGCUCAGGUGCAAAGAAGCUGCCAGAUUCGAAGCACAUUCAAGGCGAUGAGAUUCCUUCCAUUGACUUAAAUGAAUUUUGGAUCAAACAUUUGGAAAUACAGGCUGAAAUGUAGCACAAUGUAGUAGAGAAAUGUCAAGUUUGAUUGCUGCUGGAAACAUAAGAAAGCAGUGCUGCUGGUCCAGGGGCCGAGGCAGGAGCUGGGGAGAUUAGCAUGGAGAUGACA